UACGUAGGCAGCAAGCGUUGUUCGGAAUUACUGGGCGUAAAGAGUGUGUAGGCGGUGCUCUAAGUUUGGUGUGAAAUCUCCCGGCUCAACUGGGAGGGUGCGCCGAAAACUGGAAUGCUUGAACAUGGGGAGAGGAAAGCGGAAUUCCUGGUGUAGCGGUGAAAUGCGUAGAUAUCAGGAGGAACACCUGCGGUGUAGACGGCUUUCUGGACCAUUGUUGACGCUGAGACACGAAAGCGUGGGUAGCAAACAGG
This 254-nucleotide ribosomal RNA is filed under the name uncultured bacterium. Its description in RNAcentral is "partial 16S ribosomal RNA". It matches the Rfam family "Bacterial small subunit ribosomal RNA", at positions 524 to 776 of the family's 1533-position model. The record is from RNAcentral.